AGUCGAACGGUCGUAGUAAUACGAUAGUGGCGCACGGGUGCGUAACACGUGUGCAACCUACCUUAUAGAGGGGGAUAGCCUUUGGAAACGGAGAUUAAUACCCCAUAAUACAUUUGAUAGGCAUCUAUUUAAUGUUAAAGAUUUAUCACUAUUAGCUGGGCAUGCUUCCAAUUGGUCAGUUGGCAGGGUAAUGACUCACCAAGACUUUGAUUGGUAGGGUAACUGUUGGGUUAAUCCCCCACACUGGCCCUGACAUACGGUUGUAACUCCUACGGGAGGCAGCGGUAGGGAAUAUUGAGCAAUGGAGGCCACUCUGACCCUCCCCUGCCGCGUGCAGGAUGAACGUGUUAUGCGUUGUAAACUGCUUUUAUAUAGGAAGAAAGAGUUCUUGCAACAACAGUUGACGGUACUAUAUGAAUAAUCACCGGCUAACUCCGUGCCAGCAGCCGCGGUAAUACGGAGGGUGCAAGCGUUGUCCGGAUUUAUUGGGUUUCAAGGGUGCGUAGGCGGUUUAUUAAGUCAGUGGUGAGAGACGGUCGCUCAACGAUUGCAGUGCCAUUGAUACUGGUAGACUUGAGUGAGAUUGAGGUAGCUGGAAUGGAUAGUGUAGCGGUGAAAUGCAUAGAUAUUAUCCAGAACACCAAUUGCGUAGGCAAGUUACUAAGUCUCAACUGACGCUGAGGCACGAAAUGUGGGUAUCAAACAGGAUUAGAUACCCUGGUAGUCCACACUGUAAACGAUGAUAACUAACUGUUGGCUUUCGGGUCAGUGGUACAGAGAAAUCGUUAAGUUAUCCACCUGGGGAGUACGCCGGCAACGGUGAAACUCAAAUGAAUUGACGGUGGUCCGCACAAGCGGUGGAGCAGGUGGUGUAAUUCGAUGAUACGCGAGGAACCUUACCUAGGCUAGAAUGUGAUUGAACGUAUCAGAAAUGGUACAGUCUGCAAGCACUUGAAACAAGGUGCUGCAUGCCUGUCGUCAGCUCCUGCCGUGAGGUGGAGGGUUAAGUCCCGCACAGAGCGCAACCCCUGUUGUUAGUUGACGUCAGGUAAUGCUGGGACAUCUCCCAAGAGGGCGUACGCAAGUAGAGAUGAAGGAGGGGUCGAAGUCAAGUCAUCACGUUCCUUACCCAUAGGGCAACACACAUGCUACAACGGGCGGUACAGAGAGAUGUUAAGCGGUAACACAAUGCUAAUCUUGAAAGCCGUUCUCAGUUCGGAUUGGGGUCCGCAACUCGUCCCUAUGAAGCAGGAAUCUGUAGUAAUCGCAUAUCAGCUAUGAUGCGGUGAAUACGUUCCCGGACCUUGUACACACCGCCCAUCAAGCCAUGAAAGUGCUGGUAGACCUAAAGCUGGU
RNAcentral lists this ribosomal RNA (1356 nucleotides) under uncultured bacterium. RNAcentral describes it as "partial 16S ribosomal RNA". It matches the Rfam family "Bacterial small subunit ribosomal RNA", at positions 60 to 1431 of the family's 1533-position model. The record is from RNAcentral.